CUUGACAACUAUAAGAGGUCUAGCCUGCCCAGUGAUAAAUUCAACGGCCGCGGUAUCCUAACCGCGCGAAGGUAGCAUAAUCACUUGUUCUUUAAAUAGGGACUUGUAUCAACGGCAUCACGAGGGUUACACUGUCUCCCCCCUCCAAUCAGUGAAACUGAUCUCCCCGUGAAGAAGCGAGGAUGAACCAAUAAGACGAGAAGACCCCAUGGAGCUUUAAACCUCACAGCAACUCUAAUACCUAACUCCUCAUAAUUUAUAGAGCAGUGCACGUCGGUUUUAGGUUGGGGCGACCGCGGAGUAAAAAUCACCCUCCACGACGAAAAGAACUUAAUCUUUAUUUAAGAGCAACCACUCUAUAAAUUAGUAUACUAACGAACAAUGAUCCGAUAAUCGAUCAACGGACCA
RNAcentral lists this ribosomal RNA (408 nucleotides) under Rhacophorus rhodopus. RNAcentral's name for it is "partial 16S ribosomal RNA". It matches the Rfam family "Bacterial large subunit ribosomal RNA", at positions 1835 to 2459 of the family's 2925-position model. Lineage: Eukaryota; Metazoa; Chordata; Amphibia; Anura; Rhacophoridae. The record is from RNAcentral.